UCCGGUUUGUCACCGGCGGUCUCCUUAGAGUUCCCAACUUAAUGAUGGCAACUAAAGACGAGGGUUGCGCUCGUUGCGGGACUUAACCCAACAUCUCACGACACGAGCUGACGACAACCAUGCACCGCCUGUACACCGGCCACAAGGGGGCCAAUAUCUCUACUGGUUUCCAGUGCAUGUCAAGCCCAGGUAAGGUUCUUCGCGUUGCAUCGAAUUAAUCCACAUGCUCCGCCGCUUGUGCGGGCCCCCGUCAAUUCCUUUGAGUUUUAGCCUUGCGGCCGUACUCCCCAGGCGGGGUGCUUAAUGCGUUAGCUGCGGCACGGAGGACGUGGAAGUCCCCCACACCUAGCACCCACCGUUUACGGCGUGGACUAC
Molecule: unclassified non-coding RNA, 375 nt
Filed under: uncultured Actinomycetes bacterium
Lineage: Bacteria; Bacillati; Actinomycetota; Actinomycetes
Description: uncultured actinobacterium contains 16S-23S intergenic spacer region
Source: RNAcentral